UGGGGAAUAUUGCACAAUGGGCGCAAGCCUGAUGCAGCCAUGCCGCGUGUAUGAAGAAGGCCUUCGGGUUGUAAAGUACUUUCAGCGGGGAGGAAGGGAGUAAAGUUAAUACCUUUGCUCAUUGACGUCACCCGCAGAAGAAGCACCGGCUAACUCCGUGCCAGCAGCCGCGGUAAUACGGAGGGUGCAAGCGUUAAUCGGAAUUACUGGGCGUAAAGCGCACGCAGGCGGUUUGUUAAGUCAGAUGUGAAAUCCCGGGGCUCAACCUGGGAACUGCAUCUGAUACUGGUAAGCUUGAGUCUCGUAGAGGGGGGUAGAAUUCCAGGUGUAGCGGUGAAAUGCGUAGAGAUCUGGAGGAAUACCGGUGGCGAAGGCGGCCCCCUGGACGAAGACUGACGCUCAGGUGCGAAAGCGUGGGGAGCAAACAGG
RNAcentral lists this ribosomal RNA (429 nucleotides) under Chloroflexota bacterium. RNAcentral describes it as "Chloroflexi bacterium partial 16S ribosomal RNA". It matches the Rfam family "Bacterial small subunit ribosomal RNA", at positions 355 to 776 of the family's 1533-position model. Lineage: Bacteria; Bacillati; Chloroflexota. The record is from RNAcentral.